This 679-nucleotide ribosomal RNA is filed under the name uncultured Glomeromycotina. RNAcentral's name for it is "eukaryotic LSU rRNA". It matches the Rfam family "Eukaryotic large subunit ribosomal RNA", at positions 91 to 634 of the family's 3401-position model. Lineage: Eukaryota; Fungi; Glomeromycota. The record is from RNAcentral.
GAGUGAAGAGGGACAAGCUCAAAUUUUAAAUCUAUCGGGUUUUACCCGAUCGAGUUGUAAUUUGAAGAAGCGUUUUCUGCGUUUUUGGUCAGCCCAAGUCCUAUUGAAUGAGGCAUCAUGGAGGGUGAUAAUCCCGUCCGGUUGAUCAUUUGCGUUUUACGAUACGCUUUCUAAGAGUCAAGUUGUUUGGGAUUGCAGCUUAAAAUGGGAGGUAAAUUUCUCCUAAGGCUAAAUAACGGCGAGAGACCGAUAGCGAACAAGUACCGUGAGGGAAAGAUGAAAAGAACUUUGAAAAGAGAGUUAAACAGUACGUGAAAUUGUUGAAAGGGAAACGAUUGAAGCCAGUCGUACCUUCGGGUAAUCAGCCUUUCGGGUGCGAUUCUGUGGAGUGUGAGGAGCUUAACACCUUCAUGCUUUGCAUAUUUGUGCUCUUGGGUGUACUUGCCCGUGUGGUUGGUUAACAUCAAUUUUGGUUAUCAUAAAAUGGUUGGAGGAAUGUAGCUUCGAUCUCGUAUUGAAGUGUUAUAGCCUUCGGUAGAUGUGAUGAUCGAGAUUGAGGAUUGCAACGGAUACCCUUCGGGGCUACCUGUCUGGUCUCUGAUCGUUGCUCUGGUGCCGAAAGCUUGCUUACGGUUAUCAAAGUCGAUGGUCAAUAGGUUAGAACGGGUUAAAUUCGUUA